ACGGAGGAUGCGAGCGUUAUCCGGAUUUAUUGGGUUUAAAGGGUGCGUAGGCGGGCUUUUAAGUCAGCGGUGAAAGGUUCGAGCUUAACUCGGACACUGCCGUUGAAACUGAUAGUCUUGAGUGCAAAUGAGGUAGGCGGAAUGUGUUGUGUAGCGGUGAAAUGCAUAGAUAUAACACAGAACUCCGAUUGCGAAGGCAGCUUACUGGGAUGCAACUGACGCUGAUGCACGAAAGCGUGGGUAUCAAACAG
Molecule: ribosomal RNA, 251 nt
Filed under: uncultured prokaryote
Description: partial 16S rRNA
Rfam family: Bacterial small subunit ribosomal RNA
Source: RNAcentral